RNAcentral lists this long non-coding RNA (541 nucleotides) under Jatropha curcas. RNAcentral's name for it is "long non-coding RNA (JCUR_LNC000553)". Lineage: Eukaryota; Viridiplantae; Streptophyta; Magnoliopsida; Malpighiales; Euphorbiaceae. The record is from RNAcentral.
UUAUAUUGUGACAUGUUGCUGUUUCACAUGAAAUGAGCUUCUUUUUCUUUGUCGAUACCUUGGGGAGCAAGAGCUCAAAGCAAAACGAAAACAAAGCUAUACAGCUAUGCUGACUCGCUGAGUCGCGUUGCUACAAAUUUCAUAGUCUAUCCAAAUCGAUAAACCGGGAGGAGGAGACUGCAAAUUCGUUUAAUGAUACCUUCAAAUUGCAGGCCAAGAAAGUAGGAGGAUCAUCAGAAAAACAUGAAAUACAAAAAAAGACGCGUGUAAUAAUUUAUUACAGAGAAGAACACCAAUGUUCGCUAAAUUCUUGUGCUAGUAGAAAUCAAAUAACUACUACAAAAGGGAGAGGUAUGAAUUGGUAGGGAAGUGAGGAACCAUAAUUGUGGAAGCUGAUGAUGAUUUUGAUUUUCUUUUGGGUAGUUUGACAGGGUUAGGUACUUUCAUGGUGGAGAUAGUUAGCGCAUCAGAAACUCGAGAGGAUGGAGAAGAAGAAUGGAAGCAACUAAACAAAGAUGAGAAGAUAGAUGUCAUUUUUUUU